RNAcentral lists this ribosomal RNA (1489 nucleotides) under uncultured bacterium. Its description in RNAcentral is "bacterial SSU rRNA". It matches the Rfam family "Bacterial small subunit ribosomal RNA". The record is from RNAcentral.
AGAGUUUGAUCUGGCUCAGGAUGAACGCUAGCGACAGGCCUAACACAUGCAAGUCGAGGGGCAGCGAGGAUGUAGCAAUACAUUUGUCGGCGACCGGCGCACGGGUGAGUAACGCGUAUGCAACCUACCCGACACAGGGGGAUAACCCGGAGAAAUCCGGACUAAUACCGCAUAAAACAGGGGUCCCGCAUGGGAAUAUUUGUUAAAGAGCUAUCGGUGUCGGAUGGGCAUGCGUUCCAUUAGCUAGUUGGUGAGGUAACGGCUCACCAAGGCCACGAUGGAUAGGGGUUCUGAGAGGAAGGUCCCCCACAUUGGUACUGAGACACGGACCAAACUCCUACGGGAGGCAGCAGUGAGGAAUAUUGGUCAAUGGGCGGAAGCCUGAACCAGCCAAGUCGCGUGAAGGACGACGGUCCUAUGGAUUGUAAACUUCUUUUGUCGGGGAGUAAAAUCGCCUACGUGUAGGCGACUGCAAGUACCCGAAGAAAAAGCAUCGGCUAACUCCGUGCCAGCAGCCGCGGUAAUACGGAGGAUGCGAGCGUUAUCCGGAUUUAUUGGGUUUAAAGGGUGCGUAGGCUGUAUAUCAAGUCAGUGGUGAAAUCACAAAGCUCAACUUUGUAACUGCCAUUGAAACUGAUAAACUUGAGUGCGGUAGAAGUGUGCGGAAUGCGUAGUGUAGCGGUGAAAUGCAUAGAUAUUACGCAGAACUCCGAUUGCGAAGGCAGCACACCGGGCCGCAACUGACGCUGAAGCACGAAAGCGUGGGUAUCGAACAGGAUUAGAUACCCUGGUAGUCCACGCAGUAAACGAUGAAUACUAACCGUCGGCGAUACACAGUCGGUGGCCAAGCGAAAGCGAUAAGUCAUCCACCUGGGGAGUACGACCGCAAGGUUGAAACUCAAAGGAAUUGACGGGGGCCCGCACAAGCGGAGGAACAUGUGGUUUAAUUCGAUGAUACGCGAGGAACCUUACCCGGGCUCGAACGGCAGGGGAAUGGAUCAGAGAUGGUUCAGUCUUCGGACUCCUGUCGAGGUGCUGCAUGGUUGUCGUCAGCUCGUGCUGUGAAGUGUCGGCUUAAGUGCCAUAACGAGCGCAACCCUCGCCGUCAGUUGCCAUCAGGUGAUGCUGGGGACUCUGGCGGGACUGCCACCGCAAGGUGUGAGGAAGGGGGGGAUGACGUCAAAUCAGCACGGCCCUUACGUCCGGGGCGACACACGUGUUACAAUGGUGGGUACAGAGGGAAGCUACCUGGCGACAGGAUGCAGAUCUCGAAAACCCAUCCCAGUUUGGAUUGGAGUCUGCAACCCGACUCCAUGAAGUUGGAUUCGCUAGUAAUCGCGCAUCAGCCAUGGCGCGGUGAAUACGUUCCCGGGCCUUGUACACACCGCCCGUCAAGCCAUGGAAGCCGGGAGUACCUGAAGUAUGCAACCGCAAGGAGCGUCCUAGGGUAAUACCGGUAACUGGGGCUAAGUCGUAACAAGGUAACCGU